RNAcentral lists this ribosomal RNA (253 nucleotides) under uncultured bacterium. RNAcentral describes it as "partial 16S ribosomal RNA". It matches the Rfam family "Bacterial small subunit ribosomal RNA", at positions 524 to 776 of the family's 1533-position model. The record is from RNAcentral.
UACAGAGGGUGCAAGCGUUAAUCGGAAUUACUGGGCGUAAAGGGCGCGUAGGUUGUGAAGUAAGUUGGAUGUGAAAUGUCUGGGCUUAACCUGGAACGGCCAUCCAAUACUGCUUGACUAGAGUACGGUAGAGGGAAGGGGAAUUUCCGGUGUAGCGGUGAAAUGCGUAGAUAUCGGAAGGAACAUCAGUGGCGAAGGCGCCUUCCUGGACUGAUACUGACACUGAGGCGCGACAGCGUGGGGAGCGAACAGG